AAAAUACAUCAAGAGAUCCCGCACCAUCUGAUGGUGCGGGACGGCAACCUUAAAGCCUAAGGUGCCAGAUUCCUGAGAGGAAGAUGUGGUCCGCGAAGCUUUAGCGAAGUGGACAAACUUUAAACCUCUC
RNAcentral lists this non-coding RNA (130 nucleotides) under Candidatus Daviesiibacteriota. RNAcentral's name for it is "Candidatus Daviesbacteria SAM-I-IV sequence". It matches the Rfam family "SAM-I/IV (S-adenosyl methionine) riboswitch aptamer". From Rfam's summary of the family: It is found upstream of a number of genes which code for proteins involved in methionine or cysteine biosynthesis. It has been found mostly in the order Actinomycetales. The record is from RNAcentral.